Molecule: non-coding RNA, 26 nt
Filed under: Homo sapiens (human)
Lineage: Eukaryota; Metazoa; Chordata; Mammalia; Primates; Hominidae
Source: RNAcentral
UGUGAAAUGCGAUCUGGAUUGUCCAA